RNAcentral lists this ribosomal RNA (253 nucleotides) under uncultured bacterium. RNAcentral describes it as "partial 16S ribosomal RNA". It matches the Rfam family "Bacterial small subunit ribosomal RNA", at positions 524 to 776 of the family's 1533-position model. The record is from RNAcentral.
UACGUAGGUGGCAAGCGUUGUCCGGAUUUACUGGGUGUAAAGGGCGUGCAGCCGGAGAGACAAGUCAGAUGUGAAAUCCACGGGCUCAACCCGUGAACUGCAUUUGAAACUGUUUCCCUUGAGUGUCGGAGAGGUAAUCGGAAUUCCUUGUGUAGCGGUGAAAUGCGUAGAUAUAAGGAAGAACACCAGUGGCGAAGGCGGAUUACUGGACGAUAACUGACGGUGAGGCGCGAAAGCGUGGGGAGCAAACAGG